RNAcentral lists this non-coding RNA (1510 nucleotides) under Pongo abelii (Sumatran orangutan). Lineage: Eukaryota; Metazoa; Chordata; Mammalia; Primates; Hominidae. The record is from RNAcentral.
CUGCUGGUCAAUGCUAAUAGCUGGCUCUCAGGGAAAAAAGAAAAACCAUCUGUGGCAUCUGCCAAUUUCUGUGGUGUAAAUACUCUGAGCUCUGCCAAUUUCAAGCUAUCCAUUUGACAUUGCUGGACCCAAAGUUGGCAAGUGAUGUGCACAAUUGCCUUUUGCAAGAAACUAAAGGACAUACUUGUGGAAGAAGAAAAUUACAAAAUGAAAGAACUGGGAUGCAAGAAGUAAUGACUGGCUGGAGCGUCUCCAGGCAGCGCAGGGUCAAGGCAGGAACCAGCCGUGGACAAGACACCAUCCCAUUGCAGGAUGCACUCUCAUACACCCACACUCACCCAGACCGGGACACUUCAGACACGCCAACUCACCUAAUGCUCAGCUCUCCGGGAGGGCUGCUCCUGUGCCAUGAGGAGUAAGGGAGAUGGCUCACAGCUGGUCUCUACACAUGUUAGCUAUUUGCCUUAUUACACUCACAGAUAGGGCAGCUUAGAGUACAGUUGACUUGUCACUUUGUUGAUUGCUUCCUUUGAUGAACAAGAAUUGUUUAAAUUUGAUAUAAUCCCAUUCGUCUGUUUUAUCUUUUUUUGCCUGUGCUAUUGGUGUUGUAUUAAAGAAAUCAUUGCCAAGUCCAAUGUCAUGGAGCUUUUCCCCUAGGUUUUCUUCUAGGGGUUUUAUAGUUUUGGGUUUUUCAUUUGGUCUUUAAUCCACUUUGAGCUAGCUUUUGUGUAUGGUAUAAGAGAAGGGUCCAACUUUAUUCGUUUGAAUGUGGCUAUUCAAUUUUCCCAACACUAUUUGUUGAAGAGGCUGCUCUUCUCUCAUUAAGUGGUGUUGGUAUCCUUGUUGAAGAUCACUUGACCAUAUAUGUGAGGGUUUAUUUCUGAGUUCUCACCUCUGUUCUAUUGGUCUGUAUAUCUUUCUUUAUCCCAGUAUGACACUGUUUUGAUUACUGUAGUUUUGUAAUAUAUUUUGAAAUCAGAAAGUAUGGAUCCUCCAACUUUGUUCUUUUUCCAAAUCGUUUUGGCUAUUCAGGGUACCUUGAGAUUCCAUAUGGAUUUUAGGAUAAAUUUUUCUGUUUCUAAAAAAAAUGCCAUUGGAAUUUUGAUAGAAAUUGCAUUAAAUCUGUAAUCACUUUGGGUGGUAUGGACAUAUUAACAAUAUUAAGUCUUCCAGUCCAUGAACAUGAGGUAUCUUUCAAUUUAUUCACAUCUUCUUAAUUUCUUUCAGCAAUGUUUUAUAAUUUUUAGUGUAUGAGUCUUUCACAUUUUUGUUUAGGUUUAUUCCUAAAUGUGUUAUUUAUUUUGAUGCUACUAUAAGCAAAAUUGUUUCCUUAAUUUUCUUUUCAGAUUGUUCAUUGUUAAUAUACAGAAACCACUUUUUCUUCACAGUAUUAAAGACAUAUGUGUCACAUAAACACAAAACCAUCAGCUCAAGGUUUUUUAUAGAUUAUUGUAGUUUUAAUUUUAUAAGAUAAUGUUGCAAUGUAUAACAUUAAAAUUUAAAGUGUUCA